UCAACAACGUGUACUCUUGUUCUCCGUCUUUUUUGGAUAUUUGCAGAAAGUAAUUAAUGAAGUGCGAUCAACUGAGUUGAGCUCCCAUCACUUCAAUUUUUUAACGUUAGGGUAAUGAAGCCGAUGAAGGCAAUGAAACUUGUCUGCCCACCAAUCACUAUGGGACUGGUAUGAUUCGUGUGGUUCAUACGUCGUACAUCAUCGUUGACUCGGAGAUCUUCUGUGGCUUCUUCAUCAGAACCUCCACCUAAGCAAGAAGAGAUGGAGGUAUCCUCUUUUCCAGUACCUGCUGAAAGAACAGCUAGAGAAGCAUCACGGGAUAUAGUGCUCAGUGAUUGGAAGGAUAUAACGGCUUGGAUGUUCAUCACAUACUACUAAUCAUCGCACCGUCCAUCCCUGUGUGCCAGAGGAACAUUCCAGCACCGGCCCUGUCCUUAAUGAAGAAGCUGUCACAGAACUACAGUCAGGGAAUGGAAGGAACAAGAGCCUGUUGGAACAAGAAAAUCCAACUAAAACAAUGGUCAUCAAACAAGGAUGUCGAAAUGAAGGAAAACAAAAGAAAUGAAUUACUCUGGUACUGGUAUAUCAAAGCAGAAAAGGAGAACUAUUUCUUCUUCUCGGAAAGGUGAUGCAAAGGAGAUGUUUCCAGGAAAUAGCAAAUAUCGGAAAGCUGAAACUGCAAUGAUGAUCAACGGUCGGAAGGAAAGGACUAAAGUGAGGUCGUUGAUGGAGGUCAGAUACGAGGCCGAGGAUGAGUAUGAGGAUGAGGAAGGCUACUCAUCUAGCCACUCCACUGAGAACAAAGUUAAGAUGAGGAGUUUAAA
Hibiscus syriacus is the source of this 824-nucleotide long non-coding RNA. RefSeq lists it as uncharacterized. The transcript has 6 exons. Lineage: Eukaryota; Viridiplantae; Streptophyta; Magnoliopsida; Malvales; Malvaceae. The record is from RefSeq and is a predicted model, not a curated record.